Molecule: ribosomal RNA, 546 nt
Filed under: Pleurophoma sp.
Lineage: Eukaryota; Fungi; Ascomycota; Dothideomycetes; Pleosporales; Lentitheciaceae
Description: eukaryotic LSU rRNA
Rfam family: 5.8S ribosomal RNA (bases 170-323)
Source: RNAcentral
CAAUAAGCGGAGGAAGAUUCCGUAGGUGAACCUGCGGAUAUGCAUAUCAAUACGCGGAGGAAGACUCCGUAGGCGAAUGUGCGUCAUCUGCACAUCAAUCCGCGGAGAAAGACCCCGAAACCCCAUGGAUCAUGCAUGCAACGCCUAGACACCAUACCUAAUUAUUUACAACUUUCAACAAUGCAUCUCUUGGUUCUGGCAUCGAUGAAGAACGCAGCGAAAUGCGAUAAGUAGUGUGAAUUGCAGAAUUCAGUGAAUCAUCGAAUCUUUGAACGCACAUUGCGCCCCUUGGUAUUCCAUGGGGCAUGCCUGUUCGAGCGUCAUUUACACCCUCAAGCUCCGCUUGGUGUUGGGCGUCUGUCCGCGCUGUUUGCGUGGACUCGCCCCAAAGGUAUUGGCAGCGGUCUUGCCAGCUUCUCGCGCAGCACAUUGCGCUUCUGGAGGCUUCGGCGGAACGGCGUCCAUCAAGUCCACAUCCACAGUUUGACCUCAGAUCAGGUAGGGAUACCCGCUGAACUUAAGCAUAUCAAUAACCGGAGGAAAUUU